This 301-nucleotide ribosomal RNA is filed under the name uncultured bacterium. Its description in RNAcentral is "partial 16S ribosomal RNA". It matches the Rfam family "Bacterial small subunit ribosomal RNA", at positions 509 to 807 of the family's 1533-position model. The record is from RNAcentral.
CAGUCGCCGCGGUAAUGCGAAGGGUGCAAGCGUUAAUCGGAAUUACUGGGCGUAAAGCGUGCGUAGGCGGUGAGUUAAGUCUGCUGUGAAAUCCCCGGGCUCAACCUGGGAAUGGCAAUGGAUACUGGCAAGCUAGAGUGUGUCAGAGGAUGGUGGAAUUCCCGGUGUAGCGGUGAAAUGCGUAGAGAUCGGGAGGAACAUCAGUGGCGAAGGCGGCCAUCUGGGACAACACUGACGCUGAGGCACGAAAGCGUGGGGAGCAAACAGGAUUAGAUACCCCAGUAGUCCCUGUCUCUUAUAC